GAAGAGGUUCAAGCGGAGGUGACCGGACACCCCCCACCCGCCCGGCUUCCGCGCUUGGCCCCACGAGAGGAGCGCGAGAACUGUCGUGGAUCACGGGCAAUGGCUGAUGACAUUCACCGCGUUGUUUACUGUGGCUUCUAGCGCGUCAUCCAUGGCUGCUCGGCUUAUCUACUGACUAAUUCUAACCAUCUCCUUCGAUGGCUUCUCAGGGAGGGAGAGGAGAAGAGCAGAAAGAGAAUCAUCAUCUAUUUACAGGACGGAUUUCAUCUCCUAAUUCCAGGAGAGACCAUUCUCGGCGCCUCCAGGUACAUAUUAUUCUUCACCUUGUCGAUGAAUUCCUCGAAUCUUCUGUUCCAUUCGUCGGUAUCAUCCUCCACUUGUCGCCGUGGUUCCUCCUCCUCCUCAUCAUCUUCUUCUUCUUCUUCUUCUUCUUCUUCUUCUUCCUCGUCUGAUCCUGCAAAUUUUUCUUGGACGAAAGCUGCCGGAGGGUUGACGCCCCUUGAGGAGGUCGCUUCGAUCUCCGGCCGGCGGGGGGGGUCUCUCUUCACCGAGAGACCGCCUAGGGGAUCGCCGCCGGUCAAGUACCCCAUCAGACCAGAGUCCUUGAUGACGAUGAUGAGAAUAGCGUUGCAGAUGAGGAACACAGUCGUCGUGUCGACGGAGGGGACCUCCGGGAGCCAGGCGAGGAAGGGGGCCAUGUCGAAGCUCUCCGGGUGCAGAGACAGAGCCCACUGAGCCACGGCCACCAUCAGGGAGACCGAAAUGAGAGAGAUU
RNAcentral lists this long non-coding RNA (774 nucleotides) under Spirodela polyrhiza (greater duckweed). RNAcentral's name for it is "long non-coding RNA (SPOL_LNC001924)". Lineage: Eukaryota; Viridiplantae; Streptophyta; Magnoliopsida; Alismatales; Araceae. The record is from RNAcentral.